Molecule: long non-coding RNA, 4951 nt
Organism: Neopsephotus bourkii (Bourke's parrot)
Lineage: Eukaryota; Metazoa; Chordata; Aves; Psittaciformes; Psittacidae
Exons: 2
Source: RefSeq, a predicted model, not a curated record
AAUAAACAGUUAAUAAAGGUGUUUUGACUGGAACAUCUUCUGCAAUUUUUGGUUGUGGAGGCUUAAUUACAGACUAGACUAUCAAACUUUCAGAAGGUUUGGGAACAGAGACUGAUUGGCGUCACCAGGCUAUUUGGAAUAAAAUCCCAGCCCUUAUCUCCAAAAUGCAGCGUCCAAUUGAUUUUCUCUGGACCAUUACACACCACACACUGCCGCAAAGCCCAGAAGGGGAGUGGUAGAGCAUCACACUUCUCAACGUCCUUUUGUGGGCUCUUUGGGAGACACAGAUUCUCCUCUUAAGAACUGAAGAAUGGAUGAUGAAACUAUUAUGGUAAAGGCUCAGCUGUUUUCCAAACUCGGGCUGUACCCAGAGAGGCCUUGCUACCCCAGGACUGGGUUUGCAAAGCACAAAGCCACAUGUGGUAGGCCUGGGUGAUUAAAAACGCCAACUGCUGCUCAUACAAAUUGAACAUUUCCAUACAGAUUGCUGAAUUCCACUUAUAACAGCAUUAUCAGCCUGCAAAACUGGGAAGAGCUUCAGUCAGUGAGCAGAGCUGGAAGAGAUGGGCAUACAUGUGGUGCAAUUUGCUUAACAGGAAAAUACUUUAAGGUUAAGGAGAGCUCUUCACACCAAAGCUGUAGCUCGUUAUCUACCAGGUCCCAGGCAGAUUGGAUUUGCCAAUCAAAUGAUUUUUAAUCAAAUUGCCAACACCAGCCCUAUUUGCCCUCUUCCCAUGCAGCCUAGGGCUUUACUGCCCUGGGAAAGCAGGCUUUGACAUUCCAGCCAGCCAUGAUCAUCCUUUGCUGCUGAAGCUCAGGCUUCCUAUAUGGGUUUCCUGGCAUCUGUGUUUGGUCAAUGAGUUGUUCCCCUCUUUUUCCAGUCUUCUGAUGGGAUCAGGCUGGGGUGCAGCCUCCUCAGAAACAGGCUGUGCAAAAUCCGUUGGGCUGUGCCAGUCUCACUCCAGAAUGCUCAUUUCUGCCUUCACAUACUUUUUGUGACUCUCUCGCUACUCACCAGUGUUUCAGCACAUUGCAGUGUGAGCACCAGAAGGUGAUAAAUACUUUGUUGUGACAGCUCUGUCCUAUCUGUCCAAGGAUCUUCUUGGUGUUUAGCCACAGCAGCAGCAGUUUGAUGGAGCCAAAUCCUUCCAAGGGCAAGAAAGGCCUCAGUCCUCACCCUGAGCCCUCCAUCACCUGCUGGUCCCCUCUUCCUGCCUCAGCUCCCCAUCUGUCAUUAGCAUGUCUUAAAUAUUCAUUCCUCACUCUCUCUGGCAUGCUUGAAAGCUGAAUUUUCAAUUAAAUAUUAACUAGUGUUUAAAGGCCAAUCAUUAGUGGAAAAAAAAAAAGCAUUGGAAUAUUUUGCCCUCUGCAUCUGUUUCUGGUGAGGUGAUUCACUAAAUCAAGCAGCAGUUGCCAGUGGUGGUCAGUGAUGCACAGAGCAUCUCCCAAGCACAUCCCCUGGUGUCUGCCUGUGGCACAUGUGAACUCCUGCUCCACAACCCCUGCCUGGGUUUCAAACCCCCUCGGGGCAGGGUUGCUAGGGUCUCUGGGGCACCCUGGGCUGAGCCUGAAACUGCUCUUGCUCUUUUGAAGAUGCAAAGUGCCCUUACAAUACCCAGCCUUUCAGACUGGGGAACACAGCUGAAAACCUGGUGAGCUAAAGCUGCUUUGUGAUUGCCAGUGCUUUUGUCAUGCACCGGGCUGCCAAUACAAUUGCAGUAUCCCUUGUCAAGUGCCUAGCCCAACCUGCCCAUCUGGGCCCAGAAGGCUGAAAUGCUGCCUGGGAAGGCACAGGAAAGUGGAGGACAAGGCUAACAGACUAUUCUGUAGCCCUGGAAAAUUCAAAACUUAAAAGCAGGAAGGUUUCAAGAAUGGGGAAAGGACAAGGGAUGUCUGGACGCUCCUGGGUUAUCCUGACUUUCUAAACUUGGGCAUAGGUAGCCUUUUCAGGCUGGCUGCCUAAGUGUAGGUGCUGCUGCCCCAGGCUCUGCCUCUUCCAAUGUCCCCAGCCCCAACCCACUGUGCUGUGAGCACCAGGACCCACCUGAGCACGCAGAGAUUUUCACCCUGAUAGAGUGACCUUACCAGCGCCUGUAAGGCGUAGACAGGAACUGGAAAGCUCAGGCUCUCCAGUGCAAGCAGAGAUGUUGUUUUAGUGUCCUACAAAACACAUUUAUCACUACAGAGUAUGACUUUCUCAACUACCUGGUUUUGCUUCCUGAGGUACAUCUUCUACUCCAGCUCAGUUAACUUCUGUUCAGCACUGCUUUACUGGUAGUUACCUCUGCAAAUGGUACCUCUUCCAAAGAGCCCUGCCACCAUAUCUGGUAAAAACCUGUCAGAGGAGAAGCCCGGGUCUGGACUCUGGAAUGACAUUUGGUGCAGUAGCAACGUUUGAAAGCAAUGGUAUUUCCUUCUGAGGAAAAAACAAAAAAGGACCCUUCAACUUGUUUUCUCUCCCCCACUCCCUCCUCCUGGAGGAGAUAUUCGCCAAGGGCCACAGAUGGGAUCGUUUACAGUUUCCUUUUGAGCUGCCUUGGCCCUUUCAGGUUGUUUAUUCAAGCUGGGCUCUCAAACAGCGGAGGGUGGGACAAGGAAGGCCUCCUUCCAUAUUCCAAUUUGGAUUGGGGUUGCUGCAGUUCCCCAUCUGACAGAAGAUGAUUGAUGAGAAUGAUGCUGGCUGUAAACCUAGGAGGGUUUGGAGACCAGGCAGCUCUGCUCUUUACAAGGCCUUAAAUCCUGGUUGUUGGAGCAAUGCAGGGAAUACCAUCCUGGGGUAAUUACAAGCUGACAACAGCAAAAGCCACUGGAAAAGGCAGGCACUCCAGAGUUGUGGUGGGACAGCUGAAGAGGUGGCUGGGGAUUUUUUGGUGUGCUUUGUUUGUGGAAACAUGCAUACUUGGUCCCGAGCUGAGGUCAAAAUAUGCUUACAGAAAGCAGGGUCUAGAGAUGAGGAGGAGAUCUGCAGCAGAAAGCCUGGAAAGGUGCUGGAAGGGCUGAGGAUCACCUCAGAGGGGAGGUUACAAAAUCUUUGGAUACUUCCCUGGUGGCAGUGGGCUAAAUACACACUUGUUAAGAGCAUUGGAACCAGCUGGCAACAGUGCUGGUCCACCCUAAUGGCUACAGUUUUCCACAGCCUCCUCUCCUGAGAGCAGCUCUCAUUGCGCAAGUACCAGCCUCAGUUUCUCCAAAGCAAGGCUUGGAUGGAAAGGCCUUCAGGAGAGGACAAGAUCCCAGUUUGACUCAUGGGCGAGGCAGCAAGGAUGGGAGGCACAGGGGAUUGCCAUCGCAUGUGGGUCGGAACGGUGGCCUGCUCCAGGGAUCUUCAGGGCAUGGUUAUAGGGAAGCUAAACUUUAAUCUGGUUUCUCCUUCCCAGAGGAUGGCUGGCAUGGACUGGCACUACUUUUCAUUGCUUCGGCUGAACAAGCCUGUCCUGGUGUUAGACUUGCUGAACUACAGGGUGUGUGGCCUGGGUUAGGUCACCAAGAGCUUUAUUCAAAGCUGUAAGCACCCUGAAGCCUCUAGACUGGAAAUUUAACCAAACCAGGAGAGCUGGGCUAGAAGAAAGCAGCUGGGGGCAAAGCAAGGCCCUAAAAUAGAUGUACUUAGAGUAGCUCCUCCAGUUAGGCUGGAUGACCCUGUGGGGCUGGGAUGAGAAGCAGGGGAUUUCCCCUCCCUGUGCCUGUGCUGCUGGUUUAAAUCCAACCACAACUGAGCAGUAAAUAGGAGUUACCAUCCGGCAGCUGUGGGGUGACCCGUGUGCAGUGAGUCAGUGAGCUCUGGCCACACAGCCCUGCAGACAUCUGCCGCAGAGGAAGACUGGACUGGAAAGCAUAUUUUCUUUGGGAAUGUGCUCUCAUUUGGGUGAGCCCUGCAGUGCUCCCUGCACACGAGCACUGCAGUGGCAUCCUGGGAUGCAGCACUCCAGCACCCCAAUGCUGGAGCUGCAUUCCAGGAUACAGUGAUGCUGCACACUAGUGCUGAAGACACAGCUCAAAAUGCAUCCCUCCUUGCACACCAGCACUGCAGCAACAGCCCAGGAUGCAGCUCUGCUACCCAGCACAACAGCAAGUGUCUGCAUGUUGUGGCUCAACAGUCAGGAUAUGCAGGCCCAUCAGCAGAGCAGCAUCAGCAUGACCAUAUAACUAGAGUAGCUGUGAUUAAAGGGGAACCCUUGCCUUCUAACGCUGCUGAGCAAUCUGUAACCAGCUGAAUAGAGUCAUGGUGCUGCAGUUGGUCAGGCUGAGCCUGUAGCAGCUUGGGCACAUGUGUAUCUGCCUUAGUGACAUGGGUUUACUCACAAGGGAACAAGGUAAAUGUUUGAAUACAGGGAGGAUGCUAAAUAUCUGACAGCUCUCCAGUGUCUCACAGAGCUGACAAACAGAGAGGGUUUUGAGCAGACAUUUGAAGGGCAGAGCAGGUUUUUUACAAGGAACUUCCUCUCCUGGGCAGAUGGGACAAAGGGGAUAAAGCCAAGCAAAACCACACGGCUGCUUAUUUAUCACUUAUAUUCAGGCGAGCUGAGGCAUACACGCCUCCCACUGUGCAGGGGCUGCACAAACACAUGAGGAGACUUGGGUCCUGCCUCAGAGUUUCCAGUCUAACAAAAAAACCCCAAACUUGGAGGAGCAGCAGCUCUGAAAUCUCUCUGUAGAUCUCCACCUGGUAAAAGAAGUGCAGACAGGGGCAUGUUCUCUCCACAUCAGCUGCACAGCGAGAGCGGCUUAGAUGAACUCUCCUGGCUGGUAAUAAAAUGAUUUUACAUAUGUAGGAAGCAGGAUGUGCAAAGCCCAGGAGUCUGAUCUUGUUUCUGAGAUCAAACAGAGUCUUAUUGUACAGGGGUGUGGAGCUGAUGUAACUGUCUAGUGUGCCGGACACAAUCGCCGUGGUUACGCAGCUGGACCGGAAUAAAGCAAGUCUGUAUCUGAACUCAUUAAUUUUUACAACCAA